Unclassified non-coding RNA from Aotus nancymaae (Ma's night monkey), 97 nucleotides. It matches the Rfam family "Y RNA". Rfam says of the family: Y RNAs are components of the Ro ribonucleoprotein particle (Ro RNP), in association with Ro60 and La proteins. The Y RNAs and Ro60 and La proteins are well conserved, but the function of the Ro RNP is not known. The record is from Ensembl. Lineage: Eukaryota; Metazoa; Chordata; Mammalia; Primates; Aotidae.
UGUUAGUACAAGUGCAAUGAUGUUUAGAACUAACUGAUCACAACCAGUUACAGAUUUAUUCUUUUUCUACUCCCACUGCUUAUUUGACUAGCCUUGU